GACGAACGCUGGCGGCGUGCUUAACACAUGCAAGUCGAACGGAAAGGCCCUGCUUGCAGGGUACUCGAGUGGCGAACGGGUGAGUAACACGUGGGUGAUCUGCCCUGCACUUCGGGAUAAGCCUGGGAAACUGAGUCUAAUACCGGAUAGGAGCCAUUUUUAGUGUGAUGGUUGGAAAGUUUUUUCGGUGUAGGAUGAGCUCGCGGCCUAUCAGCUUGUUGGUGGGGUAAUGGCCUACCAAGGCGGCGACGGGUAGCCGGCCUGAGAGGGUGGACGGCCACCUUGGGACUGAGGGACGGCCCAGACACCUACGGGAGGCAGCAGUGGGGAAUAUUGCACAAUGGGCGCAAGCCUGAUGCAGCGACGCCGCGUGGGGGAUGACGGCCUUCGGGUUGUAAACUCCUUUCGCUAGGGACGAAGCUUUUUGUGACGGUACCUAGAUAAGAAGCACCGGCUAACUACGUG
This 465-nucleotide ribosomal RNA is filed under the name uncultured bacterium. RNAcentral's name for it is "partial 16S ribosomal RNA". It matches the Rfam family "Bacterial small subunit ribosomal RNA", at positions 28 to 507 of the family's 1533-position model. The record is from RNAcentral.